GCGGGGAUGCCGGAGCGGUCAAACGGACUGCGUUAAGGCCGCAGUGGCUUAGUGCCUGCGAAGGUUCGAAUCCUUCUCCCCGCA
Molecule: non-coding RNA, 84 nt
Organism: Candidatus Pacearchaeota archaeon CG1_02_35_32
Lineage: Archaea; Nanobdellati
Source: Rfam